RNAcentral lists this long non-coding RNA (3498 nucleotides) under Ornithorhynchus anatinus (platypus). Its description in RNAcentral is "lncRNA (ENSOANG00000041784.1)". The record is from RNAcentral. Lineage: Eukaryota; Metazoa; Chordata; Mammalia; Monotremata; Ornithorhynchidae.
CUGGGACGGUGGGGUGAAAUGUCAGCUCGCCCGUUGCAGCGUCGGCUGAGGUCACCCACAGAUUAAAGAAAUCCCGGAUUAUCUCUCUUGAUGCUUGAGUUUUCUCCGUCUCUUGCUUUUAGUACAAAAUAGAUGGUCGUUUGGCUAGAUGUUGGUGUAACGAUUGUAGGAUCGAAACAAGUUUUCUGUUUCUGCUUAAGCAUAAAACCGGGGUAACGAUUAUUUCAUUUGAGCGUGGGAAGAACGCUUCAUAUAAAAAAAUCCUAAAUACGUCGAUGGGAUAUUUUCCGAGAACGUUCCGCAUCCCUGAGAUGGAACUAGCCAAGAUCAUGGCUUUCGUCGUGACAGAUGGGACAGGAAACUGGAGCAUCGGGAAACCAAAGCCAAGCUUUCAUGAGAGUCCUUUGCCAGCCCCAAAUUCCACGUUGUCAAAAGUGAGCCCAUCCAUAACAGAGUUAUUGCUCUAAAUGGGGAAAGUAAGGAGUUCUGGAUUUUUGGAAAGGGCACAGGUUUGGGAUUCCAAUCCUGGCUCUACCACUUGCCUGCUGUAAUUUAAUUCUGCAAUUGAUUUAUUUCUAUUACUGUCUGUCUCCCCCUCUGGACUGUAAGAUUGUUAUGGGUGGGGACCGUUUCUAUUAUAUUGUUAUAUUGUACUCUCCCAAGCGCUUAGUAUUCAUUCAUUCAGUCAGUCGUAUUUUUUGAGCGCUUACUGUGUGCAGAGCACUGUACUAAGCGCUUGGAAAGUACAAUUCGGCAACAAAUAGAGACAAUCCCUACCCAUCAACGGGCUCACAGUCUAGAAGCGGGCAGGACAGACAUCAAAAUGGGCAUCAAUAGCAUCAAUAUAAAUAAAUAGAAUUAUAGAUAUAUACACAUCAUUAAUAAAAUAAAUAGAAUAAUGAAUAUGUACAUAUAUACACAAGUGUUGUGGGGUGGGAAGGGGGGUAGAGUAGAGGGAGGGGUCAGGGCGAUGGGGAGGGGAGGAGGAGCAGAGGAAAAGGGGGGUUAAUCUGGGAAGGUACUCUGCACACAGUAAGAGCUCAAUAAAUACAACUGACUGACUGCUGUAAGACUACGGGCAAGUGACUUAACUUCUCCAUGCCUCAGUUUCCUCUGUAAUGUGGGAACUAAGUAUCCUCUCUCCCCUAACCCCUCCCAUAGACUGAGCCCCCUCCCCACCCUCCCAGUGACACAGGGACUGUGUCCGAUCUGAUUAUAUUGGAUUUACUUGACAAUGACCUUUAUAUUUACUCAUGUUAUGCUUGACAUAAAAUAAUUGUCAUAUUUGUUUUGCACCUAUUAUUGAGUAGAUACAAUACAUUCAGUUCAGAUGUAAUCUCUGUUCCCUUGGGUAGUUCAAAGCUAAAGGGGGAGAAAGGAAACAGGAAACUGAGGCACAGUGAAGCAAGUCACUUAACUUCUCUGUGCCUCAGUUCCCUCAUCUGUAAAAUGGGAUGAAGACUGUGAGCCCUACAUGGGACAACCUGAUUUCCUUGUAUCUACCCCAGCACUUAGAACAGUGCUUGGCACAUAGUAAGCACUUAACAAAUACCAUCAUUAUUAUUAUUACAAUACCACAAUAAAGAGUGACAACCCCUGCCCGCAAUAAUAAUGAUGGCAUUUGUUAAGUGCUUAUUAUGUGCCAAGCACACAUUGAACGCACAGCCUAGAGUUCAUGGUUAGCUCUAGUUAGCUCGUUAUGGUCAGGGAACGUGUCCUAAUUCUGUUGCACUUUACUCUCCCAAGUGCUUAGUACAGUGCUCUGCACAUAGUAAGUGCUCAAUAAAUACCAGUGAUUGACUAAUUGAUUGAUAGGACCUAGGCUUUUGACUCCUAGCUUUUUUUUCCAUUUGGCCAUCCUGCUUCUCAUAGUAAACUCCUGACAAAUACCACUGUUAUGAUUGUUAUUAUUGUCCUAUCAGCUCUGCCGCUGGUAAAUAUUUGAACACCUUUUCUUAUCCGAUUUUCUGGUAAAUAUUUGAACACCUUUUCUUACCCGAUUUUCAAUUUCCAAAUGGAAAGAAUGUGUACUACCUAGCUCGCUAAAGUGGUGAUCUGCACACAGUAAACCCUCAGUAAAUACUAUUGAUUGAUUAUAGAGAGGUAAUAAAUAAUUUUCAGAAAGGUCUUUGACAGCUCUGUAUGAGAGGAACAACCAAAAGUAAUGUGGUACUUAACCCGAUUUUGUAGUUCAUGAUUAUUAAUAAUUUAUUUCCUUCUGUGAUGGGUAUUUUUUUUUCAUGCAGGUCUUCGCUCUUUCUUUAAGUCCUUUGUCUAGGAUUUGGUAUUAGUGUGAAUCAGUUAUUAAAAAUUAAAGAGGAGCAGAUUGUCCUUAACAUGAAGCAGUCUGGUGAUAUGAAUGUAGUUUUAAUAUCUUCCACUGGAUUCUGCAAAACGUCACGGUUCUUUUCAUAAUAAUAAUAAUGAUAUUUGUUAAGAACUCACUAUGUGCCAGGCACUGUACUAAACACUGAUACGUACAAACAAAUCUGGUUGAAUACAAUCCCUGUCUCACAUGGGGCUCAAAGGAUGAAGUAACUGUCCCACUUGGGGCUGACAGAUGAGGUAACUGAGGCCCAGGGAAGUGAAGCGACUUGCCCGAGGUUACACUGCAGACAAGUGGAAGAGCUGGGAUUAGAACUCGUGACCUUCUGACUCUCUAGCCACUACACCAUGCUGCUUCCAUAUGAUAAUACCACAAUCCCCGUGCCAUGUGGGGCUCACAAUCUCAAACCCCAUUUUACAGAUGAGGUAACUGAGGCACAGAGAAGUGAUUUGAACAUGGUCACACAGCAAAGACGUGGUGAGGUUGGGAUUCAAUACUAGAAAUUAAUUAAUACAGAUCGUGUAAUAGUCUUGGGCACCCAAGGCGGUUACACUGAAAAGCAAGUGGGCAUGGUACCAGGGAAUAAUAGUAAUAUCCAUUCUGUGCUUAAGGGUCUGGGUGCUGAAGGGUUUCUAGCUAAUGAAAGCAGUAAGCUGAUUUAUUCUUGGAGUCAAGAAGUAAUGUGGGAAAAAAAAAAUCCUAAUUAGCCGUAGCCUCCAUUCGAGAACAACAGCUGUUCCACGCUCCCGAGAGAAGAGAUCCGGGGACUGAAGGCAAUUUAAUACCAGGUGCCUGCGCAGAGACUUUUCUAGAUAGAAAGUGUGGGUCCUCUAGUCCGAAAUGUCAGAGGCAGAAAACAGCCUGGAAUGAUAGAAGGGAGAGAAAAUCACCCCCUCUGGGUUCUAAACUCAUUAAGGGCAGGGUCCGUGUCUGCUAAUUCUGUUGGCCUGCACUUUCCCAAGUGCUUAGUACAGUGCUCUGCACAUAGGUGCUCAAAAAUACCACUGAUUGAUUGAUUGAUUUAUACUGACCUAACCGGAGAUUAAAGCAGCAUGGCCUAGUGGAAAUGGCCUGGGAGUCAGAGGAUCUGGCUUCUAAUCCCGACGUGGCCACUUGCCUGCUGCAUGAAUUUGGGUAAGUCACUUGAAUUUUCUGCACCUCAGUUUCUUCAG